GUCCCAAUAGCUCAGCUGGAUAGAGCAACGCCCUUCUAAGGCGUCGGUCGGGGGUUCGAAUCCCUCUUGGGACA
RNAcentral lists this transfer RNA (74 nucleotides) under Exiguobacterium antarcticum. Its description in RNAcentral is "tRNA-Arg". It matches the Rfam family "tRNA". Rfam says of the family: Transfer RNA (tRNA) molecules are approximately 80 nucleotides in length. Their secondary structure includes four short double-helical elements and three loops (D, anti-codon, and T loops). Lineage: Bacteria; Bacillati; Bacillota; Bacilli; Caryophanales. RNAcentral also lists the same sequence under 11 other names. The record is from RNAcentral.